AGUUGGUGGGGUAACGGCCUACCAAGCCGACGAUCAGUAGCCGACCUGAGAGGGUGACCGGCCACAUUGGGACUGAGACACGGCCCAAACUCCUACGGGAGGCAGCAUG
RNAcentral lists this ribosomal RNA (109 nucleotides) under uncultured bacterium. Its description in RNAcentral is "partial 16S ribosomal RNA". It matches the Rfam family "Bacterial small subunit ribosomal RNA", at positions 247 to 353 of the family's 1533-position model. The record is from RNAcentral.